Molecule: non-coding RNA, 29 nt
Filed under: Rattus norvegicus (Norway rat)
Lineage: Eukaryota; Metazoa; Chordata; Mammalia; Rodentia; Muridae
Source: RNAcentral
UGCUAUGUUCUCGUCAUGACCUUGUCCUC